CCUGGAUGAGAGCUGGGUCUCACCGUAUCAGAGGGCUAUUAUCCUGCAUGAAGAACUGAGAGACCAAAAGCUGUGGGACUGUUCCGUGCAGGGUUGCUGUGCCCACCCCCUCCAUCACCUUGAUUCCAGGCAAGGCAUCUUCUCAUCUAGCCAUCACUUUAUCUACAGUAUGAAGUUGCUGUUCACAGCCAUGGAGCAAAACGGCUGAGAGAGGACCCUGAAGACCCAGGAUGUGGAUGCGCCAGCUCUCUUGGUGCCUGGACCCUGGACAAUGGAGGUAGACUGAGUUCUCCAGAGAACACCGCCGGACUGCGCUACACCUUUCCCAGACCCUGUAACCAAUCCCUUCACUUGUAAGUUACCCCACAAAAUAAACCUCCCUUUUAACUA
Molecule: long non-coding RNA, 390 nt
Organism: Peromyscus eremicus (cactus mouse)
Lineage: Eukaryota; Metazoa; Chordata; Mammalia; Rodentia; Cricetidae
Exons: 2
Source: RefSeq, a predicted model, not a curated record